AACGCACAUUGCGCCCUUCGGUUAUUCCUUAGGGCAUGCCUGUUCGAGCGUCAUUUCAACCUUCAAGCACAGCUUGGUGUUGGGCGUCUUUGUCCCGCCUUCGCGCGCGGACUCGCCCCAAAUGGAUUGGCAGUCGCAACCACCGAGCCGCGAGCGCAGCACAAGUCGCGCGAGCUGGCGAGUGGUAGGGACGCUCCACGAGACCUUUUUACAAAGUCUUGACCUCGGAUCAGGUAGGGAUACCCGCUGAACUUAA
RNAcentral lists this unclassified non-coding RNA (256 nucleotides) under uncultured Torulaceae. Its description in RNAcentral is "sequence contains ITS2". Lineage: Eukaryota; Fungi; Ascomycota; Dothideomycetes; Pleosporales; Torulaceae. The record is from RNAcentral.